UACAGAGGAGCCAAGCGUUGUCCGGAUUGACUGGGCGUAAAGCGCACGCAGGCGGACGCGCGCGUGGGGUGUGAAAUCUGGCCGCUUAACGGCCAGGCGCCAUCCCAUACGGCGCGACUGGAGUGAUGCAGAGGUCGAUGGAAUUGCCGGUGUAGUGGUGAAAUGCGUAGAUAUCGUAAGGAAGACCAGUGGCGAAGGCGGGUCUCUGGACAGUUCCUGACGCUGAGGCACGAAGGUCAGGGGAGCAAACGGG
RNAcentral lists this ribosomal RNA (253 nucleotides) under uncultured bacterium. RNAcentral describes it as "partial 16S ribosomal RNA". It matches the Rfam family "Bacterial small subunit ribosomal RNA", at positions 524 to 776 of the family's 1533-position model. The record is from RNAcentral.